Molecule: ribosomal RNA, 739 nt
Filed under: Placopsis illita
Lineage: Eukaryota; Fungi; Ascomycota; Lecanoromycetes; Trapeliales; Trapeliaceae
Description: SSU rRNA
Rfam family: Eukaryotic small subunit ribosomal RNA
Source: RNAcentral
UUACUUGGAUAACCGUGGUAAUUCUAGAGCUAAUACAUGCUAAAAACCUCGACUUCGGAAGGGGUGUAUUUAUUAGAUAAAAAACCAAUGCCCUUCGGGGCUCCCUGGUGAUUCAUAAUAACUAAACGAAUCGCAUGGCCUUGCGCCGGCGAUGGUUCAUUCAAAUUUCUGCCCUAUCAACUUUCGAUGGUAGGAUAGUGGCCUACCAUGGUGGCAACGGGUAACGGGGAAUUAGGGUUCUAUUCCGGAGAGGGAGCCUGAGAAACGGCUACCACAUCCAAGGAAGGCAGCAGGCGCGCAAAUUACCCAAUCCCGACACGGGGAGGUAGUGACAAUAAAUACUGAUGUGGAGCUCUUUAGGGUUUCACAAUUGGAAUGAGAAAAAUCUAAACCACUUAAACGAGGAACAAUUGGAGGGCAAGUCUGGUGCCAGCAGCCGCGGUAAUUCCAGCUCCAAUAGCGUAUAUUAAAGUUGUUGCAGUUAAAAAGCUCGUAGUUGAACCUUGGGCCUGGCCGUCCGGUCCGCCUCACCGCGUGCACUGGUUCGGCCGGGCCUUUCCUCCUGGGGAACCGCAUGCCCUUCACUGGGUGUGCCGGGGAAUCAGGACUUUUACUUUGAAAAAAUUAGAGUGUUCAAAGCAGGCAUUUGCUCGAAUACAUUAGCAUGGAAUAAUAGAAUAGGACGUUGUGGUUCUAUUUUGUUGGUUUCUAGGACCGCCGUAAUGAUUAAUAGGGACGA